This 245-nucleotide ribosomal RNA is filed under the name uncultured bacterium. Its description in RNAcentral is "partial 16S ribosomal RNA". It matches the Rfam family "Bacterial small subunit ribosomal RNA", at positions 524 to 767 of the family's 1533-position model. The record is from RNAcentral.
UACGUAGGGUGCAAGCGUUAAUCGGAAUUACUGGGCGUAAAGCGUGCGCAGGCGGUUUUGUAAGUCUGUCGUGAAAUCCCCGGGCUCAACCUGGGAAUUGCGAUGGAGACUGCAAGGCUAGAAUCUGGCAGAGGGGGGUAGAAUUCCACGUGUGAGCAGUGAAAUGCGUAGAGAUGUGGAGGAACACCGAUGGCGAAGGCAGCCCCCUGGGUCAAGAUUGACGCUCAUGCACGAAAGCUGGGGAG